GUAAACAAUGAUGGGGUGAAUUGUUCAAAUAACAAAAUAAAUAUAUGCACAUAUAGCAACAAUUUCAACAUAUUAAUUAUACUGGGUGGAGAUUUUAUUUAUUUAUUUAAUUUUUUCGCUGAUGGCACCGGUUCUGUUGUCGCUGAAUUUGUUGUGACGAUUGAAACUAUUAAAACAUGAUUUAUUGCUGUAAUAAUGCGCAAUAUUAGAAUACAUAAUCUCUGUUUUUCUCUCUAGGUAAAGCCUUGAAUCAGUUAACAUAUCAUAUAGUUGCUCUUGUCUCUGCCUCUAUCCACUGUUUUGUAUCUCUUCUGUAGCUUUCUAUUCCUCAACACUCAUUCAUAUUUCUAGGUACUCAUACGAAUCUUCUUCUUCUUCAACUUUAUAUUUUGUUGGGUUGCUCUACUCGAUCUGUCCCUGGAUCUCACUAAAACAUUGCACGGUUUUAUGCAUUGAACUAAAGAUAACCAUAUAUGCAAUCCUUUUUGGGAUUUAUCGGAACUGCUUAAAGCUCUUGAACUCGGAGGAAAGAGGGGAGAAGAAGAAAGUUAAAAGCAACUUCUUCUUUGUGUCGAAAUUUCAGCAAUAAUCAUAAAAACUGAUUCAAUGUUCUGGAUAGAAAUCAAGGAGUGUAUCUAUCUACCUACUCGAAUAAUCACUAGGCUCUCAAAGUGUGAAUUUUCUUGAAUGUCUUCUGGUUUCUUGGGGGUCCAUUUCAUGUCUUUGUGAAUGGAAUGGCUACUCAUUAAAAAGGGACCUAACUAUGCUCCACAAAGAAAGAAAUUUGCACUGAGAAUACAAGGGAGGUUAGUGUUAAGAGGCUUUUAGUUUCACUAACUGUAAGGAUUGCCAACUACUGCUCAUGUUGGUUGGAAGAGGAAGAUGGAGGCAAGUGAUGAGGAGUGGCAUUUGUUGGCAAAAACAAAGGGGGAAAAGAUGUUAAUUGGGUAUCAUAUGAUUGGGAGACUCAGAUUAGAGAGGCGUUAAGAUGUUUAUAAAUGACUAUACCGUUAAGCAAGGUUAAUAUAUAUAACCUCUGACAUAUUAACGAGAUACACAAAAUAUGAUAUGUACCUUCCUUCUUAUAUUAGUAUUUGUAAAACUAAGGUUGUUAUUUUGUCAUA
Molecule: long non-coding RNA, 1124 nt
Organism: Quercus lobata
Lineage: Eukaryota; Viridiplantae; Streptophyta; Magnoliopsida; Fagales; Fagaceae
Exons: 4
Source: RefSeq, a predicted model, not a curated record